RNAcentral lists this ribosomal RNA (513 nucleotides) under uncultured bacterium. RNAcentral describes it as "partial 16S ribosomal RNA". It matches the Rfam family "Bacterial small subunit ribosomal RNA", at positions 28 to 523 of the family's 1533-position model. The record is from RNAcentral.
GACGAACGCUGGCGGCAUGCCUAAUACAUGCAAGUCGAGCGAACAGAUGAAGUGCUUGCACUUCUGACGUUAGCGGCGAACGGGUGAGUAACACGUAAGGAAUCUACCUAUAAGCGGGGGAUAACAUUCGGAAACGGGUGCUAAUACCGCAUAAUAUCUUCUUCCGCAUGGAAGAAGAUUGAAAGACGGCUCUGCUGUCACUUAUAGAUGACCUUGCGGUGCAUUAGUUAGUUGGUGGGGUAAUGGCCUACCAAGACGAUGAUGCAUAGCCGACCUGAGAGGGUGAUCGGCCACAUUGGGACUGAGACAUGGCCCAAACUCCUACGGGAGGCAGCAGUAGGGAAUCUUCCGCAAUGGGCGAAAGCCUGACGGAGCAAUGCCGCGUGAGUGAAGGAGGCCUUCGGGUCGUAAAACUCUGUUAUAAGAGAAGAACAAAUUGUAGAGUAACUGCUACAGUCUUGACGGUAUCUUAUCAGAAAGCCACGGCUAACUACGUGCCAGCAGCCGCCGUAA